UCCAUUCCCUGCUCUGGGAGUUCUGUGGUGAGUUGGAAGGGAACCCUGGAAAAAGCCCUGAGAGGCCUGACUGGGUUCAAGGCCAUACCGCUGAUACGUGAAGGCCAUGUUGACAGCUGUGAAGAAAGCUGGAUAGCGAAGUCCUGGGGCAUCACUGCUUGAUGGCAAGGACUUCAAAGUCAGGGCCACAGGAGAGGUGCUUGACAGUCCUGUUCAUUCUCUUCUGAUAGCCUGGAAGCCAGCUCCCUCUUGUCCUCUGUGGGUGCCAUGUCCUAGUGCAGAUGUCAAAACAAACCUUGUGACGAGGACAGGAAGCAGCCUUCCUAUGAGACCAGCCACCCACUUAAGCUGUUUGGCUGUGGCUGGUCUUCUGGUGCAAGGGCUUAGGUGCGGAGGCCUGACUGAGCUGUGCUACUCCCUGGAAACCAACUUCAAUACCAUGCCUCCGAGAAUCCCCAGAGAGCACAACUACCUCCGUUCCCAUAACUGGAGAAGGGACCGGCCUUGCAGUAUGAUGAGAGGCAAGGGAAGACUUCAGCAUGGACGCCCUGGAUGGGAUAACAGUGAGCUACCCACCCCUGAAGUCACUAGGGCUGAGGAGUACUGUUUGCUUCAGAAAUCUGUCAUCACGCAGGACCAGGUGGGUUCCUUAAUACUAGAGCCACCUGAGAAGCCCAGCAGGGGAUGAUCCAGAGGCAAUUCUUGAGAGCUACUUGGCACCAAAGGAACGUUCUGGAGUGGAAUGGAAGAUCAAAUUUCCAACUAAGUCCUGUAAUGUAAAGAAUGUUGCUCCCAAAUAGGAGAUGGGGUAUCCAUCAAACUCCUGAGCUAUUAUUUAAUAAAUGUUGGAACAAUUUAUUAUUUAAAUUGUUUUUAUUUAAUUAAUUAAUUAUUUAUGGAUAUUAUUUAAUUAAGUGAUGUGGGAAUAAUUAGAUAAUAAGAUCUUAGAUCACACCAAAGCCAAAAAUUAAUUCCAGAUGGAUUGAAUUGCUAAUUGUGAAAAAAAAAGUAGCAGGUAAAAAAAUGAAAUUGUCACAUAUAAGGUACAACAUAGGAGGAUUUUUUCCCCCCUAAUAAUCUUGCGGCUGUCCCAAGCAAGAUAUGAAACCCAGAAGUCAUAAAAGGAAAAAAAUGCUAGAUUGAACCACACAGAAAUUAACAAAGUUACCCUAAAUAAUAGCCAAGAUACAAACAACAGACAACCAGGAGGAAAUACUUGCAAUACAUGUAACAGAUCCCCCUAAGUAGAAAAAGAACACCAACAAACUAAUACGAAAAGGCAAAACAAUCCAAUAGGAAAAGAUCAAAGGAUAUGACUAAGGACUUCAUGGAAGAAAUCAGAUCAGAUUAGAUCAGUCGCUCAGUUGUGUCCGACUCUUUUCGACCCCAUGAAUCGCAGCACACCAGGCCUCCCUGUCCAUCACCAACUCCCGGAGUUCACUCAGAC
This 1447-nucleotide long non-coding RNA is filed under the name Bos grunniens (domestic yak). Its description in RNAcentral is "lncRNA (ENSBGRG00000000810.1)". The record is from RNAcentral. Lineage: Eukaryota; Metazoa; Chordata; Mammalia; Artiodactyla; Bovidae.